AAUCAACGCUGGCGGCGUGCCUAACACAUGCAAGUCGAACGCGAAAGCCCGCAAGGGUAAGUAGAGUGGCGCACGGGUGAGUAACACGUGGACAACCUGCCUUCGAGUGGGGAAUAACCUUCCGAAAGGAGGGCUAAUACCGCAUAACACCUCGGGACACAAGUUCUGGGGUUGAAAAGAGCAAUUUGCUCGAAGAGGGGUCCGCGCCUGAUUAGCUAGUUGGUGAGGUAACGGCUCACCAAGGCUUCGAUCAGUAGCCGUCCUGAGAGGGAGCACGGCCACACUGGAACUGAGACACGGUCCAGACUCCUACGGGAGGCAGCAGUGGGGAAUUUUUGGCAAUGGGCGAAAGCCUGACCAAGCAACGCCGCGUGGGUGAUGAAGUAUCUUGGUACGUAAAACCCUUUCGGCAGGGACGAACCUAAUGACGGUACCUGCGGAAGAAGCCCCGGCUAACUCCGUGCCAGCCGCCGCGGU
RNAcentral lists this ribosomal RNA (477 nucleotides) under uncultured bacterium. RNAcentral's name for it is "bacterial SSU rRNA". It matches the Rfam family "Bacterial small subunit ribosomal RNA", at positions 32 to 521 of the family's 1533-position model. The record is from RNAcentral.